Molecule: long non-coding RNA, 389 nt
Filed under: Mus musculus (house mouse)
Lineage: Eukaryota; Metazoa; Chordata; Mammalia; Rodentia; Muridae
Description: long non-coding RNA chr7:124915814-124916203
Source: RNAcentral
UUUCUCAGCAGCACACAGCUGGUGACUGGCAGGUCAGAAGUCAUCUCCAAGGCAGGGGACUGCGACACCUCUUCUUCAUGAAUAUCUUUUUGUUUUGACUCCAACUACUAAAGUCCGUAUCUGCUCAGAGGUGUGUUAAGUCUUUCUGGAGGAGACAACUCAGCCUGGUUGGAUCUGAGCAGUCGAACUGGCUGCUCUAUGUGUGUCAGCACAACAGUGCUGACUGUGGGAAUAUACUGGGAAACAUCCUGAUCUUUCUGAAUCUGCUCCCAAAAACCUGGUUGUCAGGUUGUUAGGGUGCCCAGGUUAGACACUAUUAUCUCUGUAUCUCUUGGUGAGCAGCUGUCAAUCUUCUAGGAACCCAGAAUAGAAUAAAACAAAAGUGGUUG